Long non-coding RNA from Musca vetustissima, 202 nucleotides. RefSeq lists it as uncharacterized. NCBI's taxonomy places the organism in Eukaryota, Metazoa, Arthropoda, Insecta, Diptera, Muscidae. The record is from RefSeq and is a predicted model, not a curated record. The transcript has 2 exons.
AACUUCUUUCUGAGAGAGUAAGGUAGUUUUAUUCUCUUUUGCAAGAAAAAUGCGAAAAGUAAACAGACAUCCCUGCAGAAGCUUGCAACUAAUCAGCUGAUUUAAAAAUUUUUCCAGCAUAAUUUGCAAACUCUCACUGAAAGAACUGUCAAAAUUUCUCUCUCCAACCGCUCUCUUUUGCAGAACUUUUGGGUUAACAGAC